GAGUAGCAACAACAGUGGAGUCGGUGGAGGAGGAGCUAGGGUUUCAAUCCCAAGCACUGUGAAGAAAACGAUCCACAACAUCAAGGAGAUCACUGGGAAUCACAGUGACGAUGAGAUAUAUGCAAUGCUCAAGGAAUGUUCGAUGGAUCCCAAUGAGACUGCACAAAAACUUCUUUAUCAGGAUACAUUCCAUGAAGUAAAAAGGAAACGCGACAGAAG
This 219-nucleotide unclassified non-coding RNA is filed under the name Hevea brasiliensis (rubber tree). The record is from RNAcentral. Lineage: Eukaryota; Viridiplantae; Streptophyta; Magnoliopsida; Malpighiales; Euphorbiaceae.